Molecule: long non-coding RNA, 1894 nt
Organism: Equus asinus (donkey)
Lineage: Eukaryota; Metazoa; Chordata; Mammalia; Perissodactyla; Equidae
Source: Ensembl
GAGAUCCCAUGCCCUUCCCGGGGUUCCUGGGUGGGUCGAGGCUGGCUUGUGGGGGAGGCAGCAGGGGAGCAGGACCCAAAAAUGCUCCUUCUGUCGUUACCCUCUAUGCAUCUCUGACCAAGGUGAGCCAGGAAGUAUCUCUGCAGGGUUCCAGUCUCUUCAGAGGUCAUGGCUACAAGGACACAGGGUGAGGAGGUAGCAGGACUCUGUCUGCCUGGGGAGGGGACAGCAGGAAAAGCCCCAGAGAGGAGGGGACACUGCAGCUGGAUGUUGAAGCAUGAGAAGUUCACCGGAGCCCCAACCUCCUCAGAAGCUGGCGGCCAGCACUGUCCAGGAGCCAGGGCCACCAGCCUCUGUAGCCCGGAUGUAGCAGAGACACCUCUUGGUGUGGAGGGAGCAUCACUGGCCCAGCUGUCAGGAGACUUGUCUCUAUCAAGUCAAAUCUUUCCUAAGCACCUACUCUGUGCCAGGGACCAUCUUCAGCAGCCCAGGCGGCUGCCUCAUGGAGCUUCUGUUCUAAUGCAGAGAUGCUAAUGAACAAGUAAACAAACACUUGACCAAGGUCACUUCGUAUGAUGACAAGCACUGUGAAGACAGUGAGAGGGCUGCUGAACGAUCACAUCUGAGGCCAGCUUCAGCGGCAGGAGACAUCCUGGAGCUGUCCGGGGCCUGUGGGAGACGAGAUCACAGGCUCUCUCUCCUCCUGAUGGCAAGAUGGCUGCAAGCAACACCAGACAUACUCCCCAUCUCUCAGCAACUCUAGCAGAAACCUCUUUGUCAAGGGCUCCCAGCAGGCAGCACUGCUGGGCCUCUCAGCUGAGGUCUCCUGUCUGGUGGCUUGCACUCCAGUUUCAACGCCUUGCCUGCCCAACCUCCUUCCCAAUCUGAAGAUGGAAAACAAGGCUCCAAAAGCCUUCGGAAAUCUGCCCCAAGUUACACAGCCAUCAAGCAGCAGUGCUGGGACCGGCAAGUCUGUCUGAUGCCCAAGCCCAGGUUCCACCAGCUGUGUGUUAAAUUAGAGACCACAGCUGUGUGGAUGGUCCUCCCGCCACCCAGCCAGCGUGCCUGGAGGGCAGCUGGUCACCACCAGGAGCUGCCCUGUAUUGUGACUGGCAGCAUCGUGCUGUACCUGGACUAGUCUAGAGGGUGGGGAAUCUGAACCCAGGAGCCGAGACACAGGGACACAAGACCACUUGACCAGCGGUUCAGGGCUCCUCUCCAUCCUGUGCCCAAGAUCAGGGAGAGGGAUGGAGGUGGGUGUGGUUUCCCAGGACACUCCCUCCCUUGGGGAGCAAUGCUGCCUGGGGCCUGGUGGCUGGAGGUGCCUCAAACCCCUGCCUCUGGGGCCUGGCAGCUGUUGGCACUGUGCUGGCUCACCUGUGGCUUAUCUCAUCUUCAACCGACCGGAGGAGAGAAGUUGGAUCAGGUCCUUCCUCCACCACAUACACUGAAAAUGGAGAUGUGGCCAGUAAAACGACUUAUAAUCAUUGCUACCAGAGAGAGUGGAAUGGGGGGGAAGGCACACAAAAAUCUAAAGAGGAGGGCCCCGUGGGUAAACUGGCUGUUCUUCACAUGUGCUGGGCAUUUUAUUAUUCACCAAAGCAUUUUCACUGCCAUGAUUCUAUUUAAUUCUUACAAUCAACCUGAGAGGUAGCUAUGAUCCCUAUUUUACUCUUGAUAAAUGCGAGGCUCAGAGAUGCUGAGUGAGUUGCCCAACAUCACACAGCAGGUAAGGAAGUAGAGAUAGUCCUCUCACACUGGUCUUCUAACUUCAGGUAUAGAGAGCACAGCCUGAGUGAGGGAAAGAAGGAGGCAGCUGUGUGUGUGUGUGUGCGUGUGCGUGUGUGUGUGUCUGUGUCUGUGUCUGUUUUGGGAGGCUGCCAGAGAAAAGUGG